UUAUGCUUUGCCUACCGAAGACCUAACCCUAGAAUUUGCUUAUAUUUGACACAGAUUUUACGCGGAGCCCUCGCUAACAACCUUUUAUGCUUUGCCUACCUAACACGUAACCCUAUAAUUUGCUUAUAUUUGACACAGAUUUUACAGGGAGCCCUAGUAGCUGCCAUGGAAGCCUCGGUUUACAGAAAUGGCGUGGAGGCGGUAUUUUUCAGGUGUUUUUUAUAAAUUUUUUUAUUUUCAAAUCAGAAAGGAUCAGGGCGGUUGGAUUGGCAUUGUUUAAUUCUACCAGAGGAAAUCGCAGAUCAUAGAUCUUUAUAAAAAUUCAUGACCUUGCGACAGGCUUCUGAGAGGCGAGAGCGAACUCGUUCGCCUGUGACUCUCCUUGUCAAGGUAAAAACCAGGUUCUCGACCACUGCCCGCACUCUCGUCCUUCACAGAGCCACGGUAGCUGUCUGGUGCGUUUUUUUAUAAAUAUUCCGUAGGCUAGAGCAGCAGCGGCCAUGAAAGCCUAGGUUUACCGAAAUGACAUAAAAAGCGGCAUUUUUCUGGUGCGUUUUUCUAAAAAUAUUCCGUAGGCUAGAGCAGUAGCGGCCAUGGAAGCCUAGGUUUACAGAAUGGCAUAAAAAGUGGCAUUUUUCUGGUGCAUAUUUUUGUAAAUAUUUUUUAAUUUUUAAAUUAAAAAGAAUCAGAGCAGUUAGUCGGCAUGGUUGCCGACGGAAGGGAUCGCAGGUCAUAAAUCUUUUAAAAAGUCGCUUCUAAGAGGCGAGGACGAAGUCGUUCUCAACUUCUGCCCGCGAUCUGGUCCUCCUCAGGCUCCGGGUGGCUUUCUCCGGAUCUUGGCUCUCGUUCAAAGCAAUAAGCGGGCGGGCGGAGAGCUCUGUGCUUAUACGGUGACGCGUCCGGCUGAGCAGGCGCGUCUUCCUCCAGUUUUGGUUCUGCUCACAGGCGGGCGGCAGACACGGUUUAUUUAAAAAAUAUUUAUUAGGGUUCCUUAUAUAAUUAAUGGCCGUGGUUUACUGUAAUGUGUGUGAUUUACCGAGGUUUUCACUCUAGUACAACUGCAGGCGUAAUUAUCGAAUCAAAUUAAGGAGGGAAAAGUGUAUAGGUGCAUUUUUAAUCGAUAAGAGAAAGUUCUGGAGUUGCUUUCCAAGAAAAUUCUAUGCAAUUACCAUGUUCGAUGAAAUAAUGGGAUGAGGUCCGCCCUGGUUCCCCGACUUUUCUCGGAAUGUCCAAGUAAUCUGUGAAUAUGAUUCGAUCUGAUCUUUUUCAGAUGCAGUGCCCAGACAUAAAAGAAAGUUCUGGAGAAGUCUCUAAGAAAAUUCCCAGGCAAAUUCCAUUUUGUAAGAUAAUGGGAUGAGUUCUGCCCCCGGUUCCACGACAUUGUUCGGAAUGUUCGAGUAAAAUCUGUGGAUAUUAUUCGAUGUGAUCUUUUUGUCGUUGCAAUGCAAUUACGCCAUCUUCGAGCGCAUUGAAACGUGGCAAUUUCUAUGCAGCUUCCAGAAUGUACCUUUUAUCGUAUUCUCAUUUCAAUUAAUUAAUAAAUACAGUCAGUACUGUUACAAGACAGGUGGAGUAAUAAGACGCGGUAAAUUUGACCCAAAAUUGACUCUAAUUUCUGGCUCAAAGAAUAAGGCGGACCUGUGGAAGAAAAAGACACUCGCUUUUUAUAUACAUUUGAGCCAAAAUAUCUGUGAUAAGGAAACAUCAAACUAUUUGCCUAUCUUAACGCGAUUCCAUUAAUCUAAGACUAGUCAAGUUCUCAUUCGCACAUAGAAAUCCGCGGCUUCAAACAAAGGGGGCUCACAAUAUGAGCACACAGCACAGUACCGGACACAUCAACGGCUAUUCCCUGGCAGGUGGCCGUUGAACGAGCAUAUCCGUUGAUGCGUUUUGUGCGCUUCCCAGAAAUCCAGUUCUUUGCUAGAGGAUUCCAAAAUCUCCUAUAUAAACGCAAGCCUUGGAACUUUUCAACCAGAGAAAUUGUAAUAUACAUUUACAAGUUUGAACUUCCGAGAGUUACUAAGUUUUUACAUAUUUUGUGAAAUCUUUAACUGAAUUAAAGGUAUUCCAUAAUAGUUCUUGUUAUUACUGAUUUUCAUUGUGUAUAUUUUGUUUAACUGAAUUUUUAUUUUAGCAAUAAAUAGAAUGGAUAGUUUCAAUAGCAAGGUUCUGUGCACAAGAGCCGAAGCCCUGCUGAAAUCCCUUAUCCCAGCUAUCCAACAACUUUGUGCAUCUGACCUGCAACUGCCCAAGGAUCAGCAAAAGCCUGCCAUUCACCAGUUUUUGAACACACUUAUUAGGGGCGCAGAGCUGGUGAAAUAUUGUGAGAGCAUUAGCGCUUUCAAUGUAUUUCGUAGGUGUAGAUUUGCUUCACAGAUACUCAAGCUAGAAGAGGAGAUUGAUGGUGUCAUGGUUUAUAUCCCAGGAAACGUUGAGUUAGAUGCUAGAAGUCUUAGUGCAGUCUUGAAAGAUCUGUACAAGGAAUUAAAGCCUCCAGAUAUAAGUCGCACGCUGAGUGGCCUUAUUCAACAGCAAAUGAGUUUAGGUAACCUGUGUCAAAGUACUAGAAUGGAAGAGGCUAACAAAUGCUCUUAUCUUAGCAUUGUUCCUGUGAAAUCUCGGUUUUAUGCGGGAUUGGAGAGGCCUGUUGGGGAUUUGAAGGAGCUUUUAUUCCAAAGCGAGGUGACAGUCGUUGGGGUGCAUUGUAUGGGGGGUGGUGGGAAAACGACUUUUGCCUUGGCUAUUUGUAAUGAUCCCCAUAUCAAAGGUUAUUUUGAGAAUGUACACUUCAUUACAGUUUCGCAGUCACCAAAUUUGAAGGGAAUUAUAGAGAUGAUGUGGGAGAAGAUUGUUGGAAGGAAGAAGCCCGAGUUUCAGAAUGUAGAAGAUGCACGUAUACAGCUAAAGCAGCAGCUUUCUUGUCAAUCCAAGCGUACGCUGAUGAUAUUGGAUGACGUCUGGUCCAGGGCUCAUUUGGAGGAGUUACUACUUGAAGCUCCAGGGUACAAGACUGUUAUCACAGCCAGAGACAGUUCUGUCAUCCCCCGAAACUCCUGUACACGACUGUAUCAGUUGCCGUUGCUGGGCGACGAGGAUGCGCUCUCGCUUUUCUGCUUCUCGGCUUUUGGACAGACAUCAAUUCCUUGUACAGCUGAUGCAAAUCUAGUCUUGGACGUGCAAGCUGAAUGCAAGGGCUUACCCCUUGCUCUAAAGGUGAUUGGGAGCUCUCUGAAUGCGGAACCUCAUGUGACAUGGUUGAACGCAAAGAAUAAGCUAUCCUUGGGGGAAUCCAUAUCCAGUGAUCAUGAAGAAGGGCUUUUUAGAUGCUUGAAGACCAGUAUUGAUCUCUUGGAUGAUUUUGGGAGGGAAUGCUUCUUAGAUUUGGCCUCAUUUCCAGAGAACAAGAAAAUCUGUGCUGAUGCACUGCUGGACAUUUGGGUUUAUGUUCGGAAGCUGGAGAGGCAAGAUGCCUUUAUGAUGUUGUGGGAACUUGCAAAGAAAAAUCUCUUGAAUUUAGUCAGCAGCUCGGGAAGCCAAGCAACAAUCUCUUAUGGAAAUGCCUCCGAGCUGUACUUUUAUCAGCACGAUGUCAUGCGAGAUUUGGCCGUAUAUUUGGGAAGCCAGGACAAUAUAGUCCAUAGGAAGAGAUUAUUCAUGCCCAGGAAAGAGACGAACUUGCCAGGGGAGUGGGGGCAGAUGCUUAGUGAUAGACCAGUUAAUGCUCAAGUUGUCUCUAUUCACACAGGCUCUAUGGUUGAGAAUCAAUGGUAUGAUAUGAAUUUUCCAGAGACAGAGGUUCUGGUGUUACACUUCUCUGCAAGCAAGUACUUUCUACCACCAUUUGUCAAAACAAUGAAAAGACUGAAAUUUUUAAUGUUGUGUAAUUUAAAUUCGAAGAGGACCCCAAUAGAAGGUUUAGAUGCCUUAUCUUCACUCACUCAGCUCAGGAGCGUUCGCUUGGAGAAGUUGGAUGUACCCACUAUUUUAGAACAGAUUAAAGUAAUACAAAAAUUAGACAAACUAUCUCUAAGCUUAUGUGAAGGUUUUGGAAAUAUUGCCACAUUCGGCAACACCAACCUACAAGAAUUUAACCUCGACCACUGCAGUGAUUUGGAGGAAUGGCCCACAGACAUCUGUCGUAUGCCCUCUGCUCAGAUAUUGUCUAUUACCAACUGCCAUCUGGUUGAAAAGUUACCAUAUGAUCUGGGGAACCUGAGGUCUCUAAGAAUGUUGAGAUUAUCAGCAUUACCAGCGCUGAAAGAGCUUCCGGCAUCAAUUGGAAAACUUGGGCUGCUGGAAUUUCUAGACAUUUCACUGUGUGAGGGCUUGAAAGAACUUCCAGAGGAGAUAGGUCAACUCAAGCAAUUGAAAGAGUUUGACAUGAGAGAGUGUUCUCGUUUGAGGAGGUUGCCUAAAAGUGUUUGUGAACUAAGCUCUCUGAAACAUGUCAUCUGUGAUGAGAAGAUUGGGCACCUGUGGUUGCAAGUUAAGGCUUCUUUUGUGCCUGAUCUUAGAGUUGAAAUCGUGGAACCGCAAUUUACUUUGGAUUGGCUUGAUGAUUGAUUUCACAAAGCAAACUCCAACUAACUUGACAACCUUUUCUUAGGAGUGAACGGGGAUAAGGUGGAACAUCAUAUGGCUGUCAUUACAGUGCUGCAUUAAUGGCUUUUGCGAUCUCAAAUGCUAAUUCUCUCAUAUACUACACGUUUGCUUCUUUAUGCUUCAAAGAAUCUACUCCUUGAGCGAUGCGAGGAUGCGAGCAUUCACAAAGCAAAGAUUUGUACUCCAGGCAUUGAGGACAUUAUUUGAGGAUGAAGGCAUGUCAGGCAAAAGAAUAAUUUAAUACUUUUAGAAAGAAAUGUUCCUUGUUUAUCUUGAGACUUCCCGUGCCCUUCCCAAUCUUUAUUCCCAUUCGAGCGUAACUGAUUAAACAUUAACCCAGCAACCACAAUUCACGCGUCCCUGACUGCAUUGACUUUAUUACAGACUUCACUUGUGAUCAAUCUGUUCGACUUUAUUACAUACCCUGUUUUGUUCCCCUUCACCUCUUUAAACAUUGUGCGCAGCAAUCAAAAUUCAAUGAGAGCGUGAUGGCCUUGAGACUUCUAGUGCGCUUCUCAAUCACAAAAUGUCGUAAUUUUUUCGAGUUAUUGAAGUGAAGAAAUGUGACUUCAUUUUGGGAGCUUGAAAAUAUGGAGCGAAAGAGUUACAUUUGAACUCAUGAAAUUUAAACACAGCCCGAUCCACAUGUAAUUCAUGAAAUGCCGCAACCAAAUUAAUUUCCCAAACCUGAAGAAAAAAUUCUAAUAAAGACUUGAUACAAUGGGGGAUCAAUCCUCUGCCUCCGGGCUUCUCAGAGGCACUAAUUUUCAAAUUUCUACUGAAAAUGUGUCAAAUCCUUCCGUAAUUUUUCAGAGUUUUUGAAGUGAAGAAACGUGACUUCAUUUUGGGAGCUCAAAAAUAUGGCAAAUAGUUAUUUUGUUUUCAUAAAGGGAAAGAGUACAUUUGAAUUUAUGAGAGCUCGAUCCACAUGUCUGAACUCAUGAAAUGCCGCAACCACCGGGCUUCUCAAAAUGUGUCAAAUUUUUUUGAGUUUUUAAAACUGAAGAGGGGGAGCCUGAAAAUAUGGCAAAUAGUUAUUUUGUUUUCAUAAAGGGAAAGAGUUACAUUUGAAUUUAUGAGAGCUCGAUCCACAUGUUUGAACUCAUGAAAUGCCGCAACCACCGGGCUUCUCAAAAUGUGUCAAAUUUUUUCGAGUUUUUAAAACUGAUGAGGGAGCCUGAAAAUAUGGCAAAUAGUUAUUUUGUUUUCAAAAGGGGAAAGAGUUAGAUUUGAACUCGUGAGAAAUUUAAACACAGCUCGAUCCACAUGUCUGAACUCAUGAAAUACCGCAAACAAAUUAAUUUCCCAACCUGAAGAAGAAAUUCCAAAAAAGGCUUGAUAUAAAGAAAUCAAUCCUCUGCAGAGGUAAUAAUUUUCAAAUUUCUACUGAAAAUGUGUCUUCGAAAAUUUCUGCAGAGGCAAUAGUUUUUGAAGUGAAGAAAUGUGACUUCAUUUUGGGAGCUUGAAAAUAUUGCAAAUAGUUAUUUUGUAUUCAAAAGGGAAAGAGUUACAUUUGAAAAAAGACUUGAUACAAUGGGAUCAAUCCUCUGCCAUUGGGCUUCUCAGAGACACUAAUUUUCAAAUUUGUACUGAAAUGUGUCAAAUUCUUUCGUAAAUUUGAUUUGUUUAAACAUUUUAUAUCAAUUUUCAAGCUAUACAGUGAAAAUAUCCGGGGGAUCAUCAUUUGAAGUGCUAGUCUUUUGCAGGACUUUGCGGAGGAAGUAGUUUUUUAAUCGAAUGGGAAUCAAAUGAUCUCUGCAGGUGUCUUAUGAGUCGGGCUUAAUUUUUAAGGAAGAGGGUCGUUCUUUGAAUAAAAAAACUUUGUGCUACAGGAUUAUUUGGAAUCUUUUCUAAAAAAUAGAAGCCCCUAGGUUUUAGGCCUACAAAUUUGAGUGGGAGUGAAGAAGGGGUGGGAAUAGAAAUUGCCCCACCAAUUUAGGGAUAUUAUCUGUCACUUGUCAAACAUCUAAGUUGAAUUUCUAUUAAAAAGUAGUUUUGAAAGGAAAUGAUUUAUUUUUCCUUGUUUUUUUAUUAUCCACAUACAAAGAUAUUUUAUUCAUGAGAUCACCAACUUCCUCAAAUUUCAGAGAUUAAAUUUUUAAACUGAAAUACAUGACAAAAGAUAUUCUUUCUUGCAAGUACUACAUAAAUACUGAAUUAUGUAGAGCUAUCUUUCUAAAUAUUAUGAAAUACAUUUAUGUAUAUUGCCACAUAAACCUUUAACCCUUAUUCAUCUCAUGUGAAGGCCAACGCAAUGACCUUGAAUGGUUAGGCACUAUCUUUCCAAAUUUUAUUGAUCAUCUACUACUUAAUGCCUAGGCUAGCUAUACUGUUUUAUCUCGUUCCACAUCACAAUAACACAAGAAGAUUAAGCGCAAUCUAUUUUGGAUUGCCUUGAUUGAUUUCUCAGAGCAGAAGCUUCAAGAGAUUUCACAUUCCUUGCAAGUAAUAGUACAGUCUCUUUAUCAGUUCCUGCAUACAAAGGAUACUACAGUUUCAUCCCAUCUUAAUAACUUUUGCUGCGAGCCAACGUGUAGAAAUGUCACCCUUCAACUGCCAACAUGUAAAAAUGUGACCCCAGUUUACCAGUUUAACUUUCGAAACAAUCUUCUGAUAUCCCCAAUUUUUUUGAGGGGCCUUAUUUUGUUGAGGAGGACAUGAUAUCUAAUUCUCACUUUAAAAAACAAUUAUACAAGUUAUAGUCUCAACUGCUAAUUAUGUCAUUACACAACAUUCAAAGCUGCACGGCAAAUUUAAUGUGA
This is an RNA transcript of Cryptomeria japonica (Japanese cedar), 7364 nucleotides long. It is a transcript of the gene named putative disease resistance protein At5g47280, with no coding region annotated. NCBI's taxonomy places the organism in Eukaryota, Viridiplantae, Streptophyta, Pinopsida, Cupressales, Cupressaceae. The record is from RefSeq and is a predicted model, not a curated record. The transcript is spliced from 7 exons.